UACGUAGGUGGCAAGCGUUGUCCGGAUUUAUUGGGUUUAAAGGGUGCGUAGGUGGCGGGGUAAGUCAGGUGUGAAAUCUCGAGGCUCAACCUCGAAACUGCACUUGAUACUGCCUUGCUGGAGUACUGGAGAGGAGAUUGGAAUUUACGGUGUAGCAGUGAAAUGCGUAGAUAUCGUAAGGAAGACCAGUGGCGAAGGCGAAUCUCUGGACAGUUACUGACACUGAGGCACGAAGGCCAGGGGAGCAAACGGG
RNAcentral lists this ribosomal RNA (253 nucleotides) under uncultured bacterium. RNAcentral's name for it is "partial 16S ribosomal RNA". It matches the Rfam family "Bacterial small subunit ribosomal RNA", at positions 524 to 776 of the family's 1533-position model. The record is from RNAcentral.